GUGUCAGCAGCCGCGGUAAGACAGAGGGUGCAAACGUUGUUCGGAAUUACUGGGCGUAAAGCGCGUGUAGGCGGUCAGGCAAGUCGGAUGUGAAAUCCCGUGGCUCAACUACGGAAGUGCACCCGAAACUGCUUGACUUGAGUCCCGGAGAGGAAGGCGGAAUGCUUGGUGUAGAGGUGAAAUUCGUAGAUAUCAAGCGGAACACCGGUGGCGAAGGCGGCCUUCUGGACGAGGACUGACGCUGAGACGCGAAAGCGUGGGGAGCAAACAGGAUUAGAAACCCUCGUAGUCC
Molecule: ribosomal RNA, 292 nt
Filed under: uncultured bacterium
Lineage: Bacteria
Description: partial 16S ribosomal RNA
Rfam family: Bacterial small subunit ribosomal RNA
Source: RNAcentral